AACGAACGCUGGCGGCAGGCCUAACACAUGCAAGUCGAACGAGAAAGCACCUUCGGGUGUGAUUAGAGUGGCGCACGGGUGAGUAACGCGUGGGAACCUACCCUGAGGUACGGAAUAACAGCUGGAAACGGCUGCUAAUACCGUAUGUGCCCUAAGGGGGAAAGAUUUAUCGCCUUAGGAUGGGCCCGCGUCGGAUUAGCUAGUUGGUGAGGUAAUGGCUCACCAAGGCUCCGAUCCGUAGCUGGUCUGAGAGGAUGAUCAGCCACACUGGAACUGAGACACGGUCCAG
RNAcentral lists this ribosomal RNA (289 nucleotides) under uncultured bacterium. RNAcentral's name for it is "partial 16S ribosomal RNA". It matches the Rfam family "Bacterial small subunit ribosomal RNA", at positions 29 to 334 of the family's 1533-position model. The record is from RNAcentral.